RNAcentral lists this ribosomal RNA (566 nucleotides) under Kodamaea ohmeri. Its description in RNAcentral is "partial large subunit ribosomal RNA". It matches the Rfam family "Eukaryotic large subunit ribosomal RNA", at positions 23 to 682 of the family's 3401-position model. Lineage: Eukaryota; Fungi; Ascomycota; Pichiomycetes; Serinales; Debaryomycetaceae. The record is from RNAcentral.
CAAGGGUUGGGUUUUGCAUAUCAAAAAGCGGAGGAAAAGAAACCAACAGGGAUUGCCUCAGUAACGGCGAGUGAAGCGGCAAAAGCUCAAAUUUGAAAUCCCCCCGGGGAGUUGUAAUUUGAAGAUUGCGUCUUGGAGGCGACCGUGUCUAUGUUCCUUGGAACAGGACGUCACAGAGGGUGAGAAUCCCGUGCGGCACGGCCCCCGGCUCCUUAUAAGGCGCUCUCGACGAGUCGAGUUGUUUGGGAAUGCAGCUCAAAGUGGGUGGUAAAUUCCAUCUAAAGCUAAAUACAGGCGAGAGACCGAUAGCGAACAAGUACAGUGAUGGAAAGAUGAAAAGCACUUUGAAAAGAGAGUGAAACAGCACGUGAAAUUGUUGAAAGGGAAGGGCAUGCCGUCAGAUUGUCAGUGUGGGUAAGAAGCGGGGUACAAAGACUGUGGAACGUGGCCCUCGGGUGUUAUAGCCGCAGUUCAUGCCCCGUCUCUUUCCGAGGCCUGCUUUGAGGACACCGACGUAAUGACGGUACGCCGCCCGUCUUGAACCACGGACCAAAAUUUUCUUUGCC